Molecule: ribosomal RNA, 643 nt
Filed under: uncultured bacterium
Lineage: Bacteria
Description: bacterial SSU rRNA
Rfam family: Bacterial small subunit ribosomal RNA
Source: RNAcentral
CGCGGCCUAUCAGCUUGUUGGUGAGGUAAUGGCUCACCAAGGCUUCGACGGGUAGCCGGCCUGAGAGGGCGACCGGCCACACUGGGACUGAGAUACGGCCCAGACUCCUACGGGAGGCAGCAGUGGGGAAUAUUGCACAAUGGGCGCAAGCCUGAUGCAGCAACGCCGCGUGCGGGAUGACGGCCUUCGGGUUGUAAACCGCUUUCAGUAGGGACGAAGCUAACGUGACGGUACCUACAGAAGAAGGACCGGCUAACUACGUGCCAGCAGCCGCGGUGAUACGUAGGGUCCGAGCGUUGUCCGGAAUUAUUGGGCGUAAAGGGCUUGUAGGCGGUCCGUCGCGUCAGGAGUGAAAACUCGGGGCUUAACCCCGAGCCUGCUUUUGAUACGGGCGGACUAGAGGGAUGCAGGGGAGAACGGAAUUCCUGGUGGAGCGGUGGAAUGCGCAGAUAUCAGGAGGAACACCGGUGGCGAAGGCGGUUCUCUGGGCAUCACCUGACGCUGAGAAGCGAAAGCGUGGGGAGCAAACAGGCUUAGAUACCCUGGUAGUCCACGCCGUAAACGGUGGGCACUAGGUGUGUGGGACAUUCCACGUUCUCCGUGCCGAAGCUAACGCAUUAAGUGCCCCGCCUGGGGAGUACGG